GGAUGUGAGGGCGAUCUGGCUGUGACAUCUGUCACCUCACUGAUCGCCAGGGUUGAUUUGGCUGAUCUGGCUGGUUAGGCAGGUGUCCUCUUCCUCCCUCACCACUCCAUGUGUGUCCAUCCCAAAGCUGCACACCUGGCCCAAGAGGACAGCCUUACCCAAAAAGAGAUGGACCUGUCUUUGGUCUAGGGUAAACGAGUUGCUGUGCUCCCCUGCUAGACCUCCAAACAAGCUCUCAAAUGGGGAAGGUGAGCUUGUAUCUAGGGAGACCUUGGGGCUUAGCUGUCAAGACUGGCCUGCGGGUUCCCUACUGACUAGGUCU
Molecule: unclassified non-coding RNA, 322 nt
Organism: Erinaceus europaeus (western European hedgehog)
Lineage: Eukaryota; Metazoa; Chordata; Mammalia; Eulipotyphla; Erinaceidae
Gene: 7SK
Rfam family: 7SK RNA
About the family: 7SK was discovered as an abundant small nuclear RNA in the mid-70s but a possible function has only recently been suggested. Two independent studies have found that 7SK RNA binds the CDK9/cyclin T complex (known as elongation factor P-TEFb).
Source: Ensembl